UGAGGAAUACCGGUGGCGAAGGCGGCCCCCUGGACGAAGACUGACGCUCAGGUGCGAAAGCGUGGGGAGCAAACAGGAUUAGAUACCCUGGUAGUCCACGCUGUAAACGAUGUCGAUUUGGAGGUUGUGCCCUUGAGGCGUGGCUUCCGGAGCUAACGCGUUAAAUCGACCGCCUGGGGAGUACGGCCGCAAGGUUAAAACUCAAAUGAAUUGACGGGGGCCCGCACAAGCGGUGGAGCAUGUGGUUUAAUUCGAUGCAACGCGAAGAACCUUACCUACUCUUGACAUCCAGAGAACUUAGCAGAGAUGCUUUGGUGCCUUCGGGAACUCUGAGACAGGUGCUGCAUGGCUGUCGUCAGCUCGUGUUGUGAAAUGUUGGGUUAAGUCCCGCAACGAGCGCAACCCUUGAUCUUAGUUGCCAGCAUGUAAUGGUGGGCACUCUAAGAUGACUGCCGGUGACAAACCGGAGGAAGGUGGGGAUGACGUCAAAUCAUCAUGCCCCUUAUGACCUGGGCUACACACGUACUACAAUGGUCGGUACAACGGGAAGCGAAGCCGCGAGGUGGAGCCAAUCCUUAUAAGCCGAUCUCAGUUCGGAUUGCAGGCUGCAACUCGCCUGCAUGAAGUCGGAAUUGCUAGUAAUCGCGGAUCAGCGUGCCGCGGUGAAUACGUUCCCGGGUCUUGUACACACCGCCCGUCACACCACGAGAGUUUACAACACCCGAAGUCGGUGGGGUAACCCGCAAGGGAGCCAGCCGCCGAAGGUGGGGUAGAUGAUUGGGGUGAAGUCGUAACAAGGUAGCCGUAAAUCGA
This 813-nucleotide ribosomal RNA is filed under the name uncultured Photorhabdus sp. RNAcentral's name for it is "bacterial SSU rRNA". It matches the Rfam family "Bacterial small subunit ribosomal RNA", at positions 700 to 1510 of the family's 1533-position model. The record is from RNAcentral. Lineage: Bacteria; Pseudomonadati; Pseudomonadota; Gammaproteobacteria; Enterobacterales; Morganellaceae.